UCUGACUUCUUGCUUCUCUCCUC
RNAcentral lists this microRNA (23 nucleotides) under Mus musculus (house mouse). Its description in RNAcentral is "mmu-miR-7235-3p". Lineage: Eukaryota; Metazoa; Chordata; Mammalia; Rodentia; Muridae. The record is from miRBase by way of RNAcentral.